UGAUCAGGACCGCAUGAACGUGAAGUGCA
This 29-nucleotide non-coding RNA is filed under the name Rattus norvegicus (Norway rat). Lineage: Eukaryota; Metazoa; Chordata; Mammalia; Rodentia; Muridae. The record is from RNAcentral.